ACCACUGUCUCCCAGCAGGGGGCGGGCCGUUGUGGCGGCGGGGGCGAGGGCGGAGGACGGAGUGGACUGCAGCUUCAAGGCCGCUGCCACUUACCCGAGGGAUCACCACGCUCAUACCCAACUCUUCAGUCAGGGAAGCAGCAGCGGCAGCGGUGGCGGCGGGGCAAGCGGUGGCGGCGGCAUUGGCGGGGCGGGGGGCAGUCAGUUCAUGGGGGGGAGACGAUGGUGGGAGCCAGGAUGGAGGCAGCCAUGGGCUCUCCAGGCAGCAAGAGGCAACUUUCCUUCCUCCUCCUCCUCCUCCUCUUCCUCCUCUCCUGCUUCCUCCUCAGUUUCUUCUUCUUUCCCUGCCUGUGCCGCCGCUCCUGGUUCCUCCUCCUCCGCCUCCUCUUCCUCCUUUUUCCGAGAAGAUUCCAACAUGGCCGCCUCGCUCAUGAGACCGACUUUCGGACAAGACUUCUUCCAGGGUCACGUGUUUGGAGGGUCUCAGGGCGCUGUCAACUUGCAGGGGGCGCAGACCUUCUACCACUACGGGGCUCAGGGACUCCACCACUACUACAUGACGCCGAGAUAACUCACUCUGUGCCUUUCCUGCUGCCGCCACCACCACCACCAUUACCUUAAUCAAACCAGCAGUUCUGAAUACAUUACUACUGUUCCCCCUCACCUCUCUCUCUCUCUCUCUCUCUCUCUCUCUCUCUCUUUCUCUCUCUC
Molecule: long non-coding RNA, 711 nt
Organism: Scylla paramamosain (green mud crab)
Lineage: Eukaryota; Metazoa; Arthropoda; Malacostraca; Decapoda; Portunidae
Exons: 3
Source: RefSeq, a predicted model, not a curated record